RNAcentral lists this ribosomal RNA (262 nucleotides) under uncultured bacterium. RNAcentral describes it as "partial 16S ribosomal RNA". It matches the Rfam family "Bacterial small subunit ribosomal RNA", at positions 793 to 1055 of the family's 1533-position model. The record is from RNAcentral.
GUCCACGCAGUAAACGAUGAAUACUAGCUGUAUGCGAUAUACUGUAUGUGGCAAAGCGAAAGCGUUAAGUAUUCCACCUGGGGAGUACGUUCGCAAGAAUGAAAACUCAAAAGGAAUUGACGGGGGGCCCGCACAAGCGGAGGAACAUGUGGUUUAAUUCGAUGAUACGCGAGGAACCUUACCCGGGCUUGAAAUGCAUCUGACCGACGAGGAAACUUGUCUUCUAGCAAUAUCAGAUGUGUAGGUGCUGCAUGGUUGUCGU